AGCGAACGCUGGCGGCAGGCUUAACACAUGCAAGUCGAGCGGGCGUAGCAAUACGUCAGCGGCAGACGGGUGAGUAACGCGUGGGAACGUACCUUUUGGUUCGGAACAACACAGGGAAACUUGUGCUAAUACCGGAUAAGCCCUUACGGGGAAAGAUUUAUCGCCGAAAGAUCGGCCCGCGUCUGAUUAGCUAGUUGGUA
This 200-nucleotide ribosomal RNA is filed under the name uncultured bacterium. RNAcentral's name for it is "partial 16S ribosomal RNA". It matches the Rfam family "Bacterial small subunit ribosomal RNA", at positions 29 to 254 of the family's 1533-position model. The record is from RNAcentral.